Long non-coding RNA from Nerophis lumbriciformis (worm pipefish), 856 nucleotides. RefSeq lists it as uncharacterized. The record is from RefSeq and is a predicted model, not a curated record. NCBI's taxonomy places the organism in Eukaryota, Metazoa, Chordata, Actinopteri, Syngnathiformes, Syngnathidae.
UCCCCCCUCCUGAAGGAGGCGGGUCAGGAUAUCCAGGAGGCGCCGAUGGACGUCCCGGCCUUGUCCGCGGCCCACGCCGUCGGACUCGGAACAUUCCUGCACGGCCCGCUGAAGCUCCACCUGCUCCGAGCCACCAGAGGCAGAGAACAAUGUGGGAGAACUUUAGGCGGCAAAGAAGGCGUCAGACGCACACUGACCUGCAGGGGGAGCCCUGCUUUGGCGCCCAGCAGCGUGGGAGAGAACCACAGCCUGAAGAUCUUCUCACAAAUCACCUAGCGAAGAAGAGAAGGAAAUCUUAGUAACACCCCGACUUCUUCUUCCUGUUUGGAGGUUUUGUUUUCAUUCCACACGUCUGCCUUCAUCACUUCAAGCACCGCCAUGGCGGCCAAGGUCAAAGUUCACAAGAAAAGGUUGGAGUUGGAGCGAUGGCGGCUGCAGCGUCUUUUCAUCAGGUUGCACGAGGACGAGCAGUCGAAGAAGUUGCAGUCGUCGUCGCUGCUGCAGUUCUGGUCCAGAAUGUCCUCCAUCUUGGGCUCGAAGAAGGCCAUGUCCACGUCGAUGGCCACCACCUGCUCAACAUUCAGAGCGUGAAGGUGCUGCCGAGAACAAGUAACGAUGGUGGACUCUGUGCGUGAAGUCGUUGUCAAAGUGGUGCACCAUGUCCAGGAAGCUGAGAGCGAUGCGGUGGACCUUCUGCCGGGCACUCCACGCCGCCAGGCUUCCGGACCCGACCACCUCCUCCAGAGAGAAGAUGUUCUGGUCCCAGGCGUGGCCCGCAGACAGGUACUCCACGGCGUAGAAAUGCCCGCAGGAACCCAACACCUUGGCCACGUGUGUGCUGAGGUCCUGCAGGACU